CUUGGCGCUUCCGCAACUGACGCACCGCGCGCACAGUAUUGACAAGAAAAGAGUUGUGAAACUUUCUAUCUCGUAAGGAGUUAUGAACGUGAAAUAGUGACACAGACUGGCUACACCAUCUCAUCUGCAGCAGAGAUUGUUGUAUCAGAAGGACAGCGCGUUUGUUUGACGCACUUUUCACUUCAACUGUGUCUGACAGGAGAAUUAGCUUUCUGAGCCUUCUAGCCGUUGAGUUACCAUGGCAACCGCGUACACAUCAGCUGCUGGAGAGGAGAGGACUCGUCUGACAUUUUCUCUGUUUCUCGUCAGUUAUACCAAAGAAAAGGCCAACAACUGCGACAGAUUUGUUAAGUAACACGUUAAUAUCAUCCUCAGUCUACUUUAAGUACUUUUUGUUAAUAUUUAUACCUCUGCGAUUAUGGUAUUUUUCCUGAAAUGUCUGCUAUCAAGUAUUACGCUAGCAUAGAAACAUAAUUAACGUUAUAGCAUAUUAGAUUUGAGCUCUUAUUAAUGAAAGUUUGGCCUUUUAAUUACAUCUUAUGCCUAAAGGAUCGGUUUUGAUCGUUUUGUAAAUGUUUUUGAUGGUAAUUUGUCAAUAGAUAAAUGAAAUAAAGUUAAGCUAAUUAAUUUAACCUAAAAAUCUGCACUGUAGAGUCUAUCAGUGACGUCACUCGUGGUCUAAAAUGGGCUGAAACUAUUUCAAACCACUGUUUCAAGCUUGUUCUGAUUUAUCAUUGUAAACAAAUAUUGAUAAAAAAAAUUUCUUGUGAAAAAAAAAAAAAAAGUGUCUUAAAAACCCUCUAAAACAGAGAAGUUCCAAGAAAAUGUCUAACGGGAGCUGCUGACAGAGAUAGAAAACACAGUUUGUUUAUUUCUAAUAAGGAGCUGGAGGCCGUGAAGAUACAGAUCCAUGAUAUUGUGGAGAAGCAGGCCCAGCUGAGCGAGUGGAGAGCUGUGCUGGAAAUAUUCAUGGGUUGAUGCUCAUAAGUCCAGGUGUAAGACAUGAUCCAGGCCCUGGGCGACGACCUCUCUCCAUCCGCCGCCUCCGGUCUUUAGGAUCUCCACCAGAACCCGAUUCGCUCCACUUCGCGAGACAGAACAAAACGCUGUGAUCAUCAGAGACUCCAUCGUCCG
This is a long non-coding RNA of Carassius auratus (goldfish), 1134 nucleotides long. RefSeq lists it as uncharacterized. The record is from RefSeq and is a predicted model, not a curated record. The transcript has 4 exons. NCBI's taxonomy places the organism in Eukaryota, Metazoa, Chordata, Actinopteri, Cypriniformes, Cyprinidae.